UACAGAGGUCCCGAGCGUUGUUCGGAUUCAUUGGGCGUAAAGGGUGCGUAGGUGGCGCGCUAAGUCAGGUGUGAAAUUUCGGAGCUUAACUCCGAAACUGCAUUUGAUACUGGCGUGCUUGAGGACUGGAGAGGAGACUGGAAUUCACGGUGUAGCAGUGAAAUGCGUAGAUAUCGUGAGGAAGACCAGUGGCGAAGGCGGGUCUCUGGACAGUUCCGU
Molecule: ribosomal RNA, 219 nt
Filed under: uncultured bacterium
Lineage: Bacteria
Description: partial 16S ribosomal RNA
Rfam family: Bacterial small subunit ribosomal RNA
Source: RNAcentral